GCACUGCUGAUGAGAUCCAAACAGUUCGAAACAGUUGUCCGGUGC
Molecule: non-coding RNA, 45 nt
Filed under: Echinostoma caproni
Lineage: Eukaryota; Metazoa; Platyhelminthes; Trematoda; Plagiorchiida; Echinostomatidae
Source: RNAcentral